RNAcentral lists this ribosomal RNA (468 nucleotides) under uncultured bacterium. Its description in RNAcentral is "partial 16S ribosomal RNA". It matches the Rfam family "Bacterial small subunit ribosomal RNA", at positions 28 to 507 of the family's 1533-position model. The record is from RNAcentral.
GACGAACGCUGGCGGCGUGCUUAACACAUGCAAGUCGAACGGAAGGGCCCUGCUUUUGUGGGGUGCUCGAGUGGCGAACGGGUGAGUAACACGUGAGUAACCUGCCCUUGACUUUGGGAUAACUUCAGGAAACUGGGGCUAAUACCGGCUAGGAGCUCCUGCUGCAUGGUGGGGGUCGGAAAGUUUCGGCGGUUGGGGCUGGACUCGCGGCUUAUCAGCUUGUGGGUGGGGUAGUGGCUUACCCAGGCUUUGACGGGUAGCCCGCCUGAGAGGGUGACCGGCGACCUUGGGACUGAGAGACGGCGCAGUCUCGUACGGUAGACAGCAGUCGGGAAUAUUGCACAAUGGGCGCAAGCCUGAGGCAGCAGCGCCGCGUGCGGGAUGACCGUCUUCGGGUGGUAAACCGCUUUCGGCUGUGACGAAGCGGGAGUGACGGUAAUGGGUAAAGAAGCACCGGCUAACUACGUG